CACUACUAUAUAACAAAUAAUUUGAGGUACCUGUAAAAUGGAUCGUGACAGCUCUGGUUUAAGGUUCUCGGAAGGUUGUGAUGGGGUUCUGGACCACGCUUUCAGGUUAGGUCAUCAGUACGAUAGUGGAGACUACUACUGUGUGCUAGCCCGCUCUGAUAACGGCCUCAUACCAGGCAAAGCUAAGCCUAACGGAGAAAGUUGCUGGUACCCGUACGGGGGUGAGGAGCAUGAGUGUGAAGAUUUCGAGUGGAUCAGUUCUAAUGGUCACGGAGUGAUGAUCAGACCUACCCUGGGGGAAGAAGAGGAAGCACCGGAGGGAGCCCUCAAACUUGGAUCACAAGAUGAUGACGAGUAUUACGUAGUAGUAGCACAUACGGAGGGAGGGUGAUGUUCCGGGCAAGUCUAAGAACGGAAAAUGUUGGUACUCAUUCGGGGGAGAGGAAAAGAACGCCGACCACUUUUCUUAUGUCGUCGUGCGUUUUGGAAUUGGGGGAACUGUCCUUUGUAUGACGGAGCAAGGAUUCACUUGGAGAGCCAACAUGAACAUGGUGGUACGGUUAGAGUUAACGAAGAUGAUGAGGUUGAUGGAGAAGGAGGUCACGGGAGUUGGGCAACCUAUAUAGUACAGAGAAACGAACACGAUGGCACUGUCCGACUUCAGAAUGAUAACAAACCUCACCGCUUCCUGGCCAUCAAGAAAACCGGUCUCACCACUGGUGCUGGGGGACGGAACUGCGUGUUUAGACCCAACUUCCACAAGAACGGAACUGUUUCCUUCAUGUCUGUUAACUUUCCUGGUCGACAUAUCGGAAUAAACGAUGAUCAAACUGCGCGUAAUCCAAAAAACACUGGGACUGGUUUAAACGCUAGAUUCAACAUUCUCGAGGCUUAAUAAUUAAUGACGUCACGAAUGAAGAGCUCGCAGUGGGAAGGGAAAGACAUUGAUGCAGUUAAACUCUUGGAAGUUUCCCCCAAAGAAUUUGAUUAUAAAGGUUAAGAAGUCCGGUUAAUUAAUUUUGUUAAUUCUGAAUUUUGAAAAUAUGUGUUUUUUGACCAAUUUGUUGAUGAAAGAAUAACGGUUGACUAUUUUGUUUUGGUCUUCAGUUUACGUUUUGCAUCGUUAAUGUUAUGUAUUUUAGAAUUUGUCGUAAUAACUGUGAAUGGCGAA
Molecule: RNA transcript, 1171 nt
Organism: Bolinopsis microptera
Lineage: Eukaryota; Metazoa; Ctenophora; Tentaculata; Lobata; Bolinopsidae
Exons: 10
Source: RefSeq, a predicted model, not a curated record